CCUACGGGGUGCAGCAGUGAGGAAUAUUGGUCAAUGGACGCAAGUCUGAACCAGCCAUGCCGCGUGCAGGAAGACGGCUCUAUGAGUUGUAAACUGCUUUUGUACGAGGGUAAACGAAGAUACGUGUACCUGUCUGAAAGUAUCGUACGAAUAAGGAUCGGCUAACUCCGUGCCAGCAGCCGCGGUAAUACGGAGGAUUCAAGCGUUCUCCGGAUUUAUUGGGUUUAAAGGGUGCGUAGGCGGUCGGAUAAGUUAGAGGUGAAAUCCCGAGGCUCAACUUCGGAAUUGCCUCUGAUACUGUUAGGCUAGAGAGUAGUGGCGGUAGGCGGAAUGUAUGGUGUAGCGGUGAAAUGCUUAGAGAUCAUACAGAACACCGAUUGCGAAGGCAGCUUACCAAGCUACGUCUGACGUUGAGGCACGAAAGCGUGGGGAGCAAACAGGAUUAGAUACCCCAGUAGUC
Molecule: ribosomal RNA, 460 nt
Filed under: uncultured bacterium
Lineage: Bacteria
Description: partial 16S ribosomal RNA
Rfam family: Bacterial small subunit ribosomal RNA
Source: RNAcentral